Molecule: ribosomal RNA, 305 nt
Filed under: uncultured bacterium
Lineage: Bacteria
Description: bacterial SSU rRNA
Rfam family: Bacterial small subunit ribosomal RNA
Source: RNAcentral
ACCUUCCUACGGGGGGCAGCAGUGAGGAAUAUUGGUCAAUGGGCUUACGCCUGAACCAGCCAAGUCGCGUGAGGGAAGACUGCCCUAUGGGUUGUAAACCUCUUUUGUCAGGGAGCAACGCCGGCUACGUGUAGCCGGACUGAGAGUACCUGAAGAAAAAGCAUCGGCUAACUCCGUGCCAGCAGCCGCGGUAAUACGGAGGAUGCGAGCGUUAUCCGGAUUUAUUGGGUUUAAAGGGUGCGUAGGCGGGCUUUCAAGUCAGCGGUAAAAAUUCGGGGCUCACCCCCGUCCGGCCGUUGAAACUG